GCGCGUGUGGCGGAAUUGGCAGACGCACUAGACUUAGGAUCUAGCGGGAAACCGUGGGGGUUCAAGUCCCUCCACGCGCA
Molecule: transfer RNA, 80 nt
Filed under: Insulibacter thermoxylanivorax
Lineage: Bacteria; Bacillati; Bacillota; Bacilli; Caryophanales; Paenibacillaceae
Also listed under: 1 other name
Rfam family: tRNA
About the family: Transfer RNA (tRNA) molecules are approximately 80 nucleotides in length. Their secondary structure includes four short double-helical elements and three loops (D, anti-codon, and T loops).
Source: Rfam by way of RNAcentral